Uranotaenia lowii is the source of this 1452-nucleotide RNA transcript. RefSeq lists it as uncharacterized. The transcript is spliced from 5 exons. The record is from RefSeq and is a predicted model, not a curated record. Lineage: Eukaryota; Metazoa; Arthropoda; Insecta; Diptera; Culicidae.
GGACAUUCUCCUAGGUGGACCAGCUAACUAGCCGUGGUAAAGGAUGUCGACAUCGGUUAUUCUACGUGAAUCAACGACUCUUCCGGAAGAGGAUUUUUUUCGCUGGCGGACUUCAAAAUACAACGCAACCGAAACCGAAUCAGGUACUACCUGAUACAUGUCAGUAAGGUCGAUAGUGUGAAUGUGCUGAAGGAAAAGGGAUGCAGGAGUGUCUAUUUUAGCGGACUUGAACAUCGGAACAUGAAUUUCUAUACGCUCCGCCUAGAACGCACGUAGGAAAAACAAGAACUUUUCAUCACGGAGCCAAACAAUACGACCAAACUGAUAUCGCUCCAGUGACGCGGACCUGUCCACAAGAAGACGUUUUUAAUUAUGUCCUCCAAGCGACCAGAGUAAUCCGUAAGCAUUCGAAGGCAACUGUAAAGGUUCUGCUAAAGCAGUUCACUAUCAGCAGGCACACAAAACUGAAAAAUAUCAUUAACGCCAACAUGCAUUGCCAUUUGGUAUCUGCUCCAGACUGUCCUUCAUGAGUCGAUGAUCGUUUUCUCACUGAUUUCACAAGAAGGUGCCGGAUCAUUUCUCGGAUGCGAACCUUUCUAUCCGAAAGCAACCGUUUCAGCAAGGAUAAAAGGCCAAGAAUGGAAACAUGGUGAAACAGAAAAAAAGACAAAUCCGGCAUGCGUUCAUUUGUUUUCCUCGUGGACCUCCGAGGGGAAUUUUAGUCUUGCUUGCUCGGUACCAGACGAGCCAUGGUCAGAACAAACCGACACUACCGCGUUCUUUCGGAAAUUCCGGACAGGUAGAACUGAUGGCAGUUGGGACUUCCGCCGGAACCGCACCAUUUCCUUUCAAAAGCUUGCGGAAGCUGAUGGGAAAUGUUCGCGAUUAUGGUCCGAGUCCCGCACAAUGCUUUGAUGGUGAAUCGGUUACAACCGGAUUAGGUUUUUGUGGACGAACGAGGAGUUGGUGCUGUUUUUUUCAUUGAAAUAAAGACCCAGCAAGCGCCUGAGAAUGCCAUUGCAAAGGGCAAGGUGUGCGAGACUACCGUGGUUCAAAGUUCGGCCGGCUUUGAAGGCAACGGUCACAUCGUAGCCUGCAAACAUCUACAAUGCCAACACAAAUCAGCGGAGACUGCACCAUACUUCCUCCCCCCCCCCACGGGCUAGUGCUGUGCUGCACUCGCAACGUCCGUCUGAAGCUGAGUGUGCUGUCGCUAAGGCAGCUGAAUUUGCUACCACCUGUGUUCACGCUGCCCCGAAAAGACGGGCUGAAGAUAAUCUGGAAGCAAUUCAUAAUACGAACAAUAAAGAAGUGAAAUAAAUGUAAAUAAAGAAAAUAGAUUCAAAUGCCUGCAUUGUAUUUAAUUUCAUUUAAAUUAAUUCGCUAAUUUUCAACAUUGUACGAUUCUACGCACCGGCGAGAAAUCUUAGAAAAACUUUCCGUUGAGUAAAG